GAUGGGGGACGCAGUCUGAUGGAGCACGCCGCGUGAGUGAAGAAGGCUUUCGGGUCGUAAAACUCUGUUGUUGGAGAAGAAUGGUCGGCAGAGUAACUGUUGUCGGCGUGACGGUAUCCAACCAGAAAGCCACGGCUAACUACGUGCCAGCAGCCGCGGUAAUACGUAGGUGGCAAGCGUUAUCCGGAUUUAUUGGGCGUAAAGCGAGCGCAGGCGGUUUUUUAAGUCUGAUGUGAAAGCCCUCGGCUUAACCGAGGAAGCGCAUCGGAAACUGGGAAACUUGAGUGCAGAAGAGGACAGUGGAACUCCAUGUGUAGCGGUGAAAUGCGUAGAUAUAUGGAAGAACACCAGUGGCGAAGGCGGCUGUCUGGUCUGUAACUGACGCUGAGGCUCGAAAGCAUGGGUAGCGAACAGGAUUAGAUACCCUGGUAG
Molecule: ribosomal RNA, 432 nt
Filed under: Lacticaseibacillus paracasei
Lineage: Bacteria; Bacillati; Bacillota; Bacilli; Lactobacillales; Lactobacillaceae
Description: bacterial SSU rRNA
Rfam family: Bacterial small subunit ribosomal RNA
Source: RNAcentral